Molecule: ribosomal RNA, 492 nt
Filed under: uncultured bacterium
Lineage: Bacteria
Description: partial 16S ribosomal RNA
Rfam family: Bacterial small subunit ribosomal RNA
Source: RNAcentral
AGUGAACGCUGGCGGUAGGCCUAACACAUGCAAGUCGAACGGCAGCACAGUAAGAGCUUGCUCUUACGGGUGGCGAGUGGCGGACGAGUGAGGAAUACAUCGGAAUCUACUUUUUCGUGGGGGAUAACGUAGGGAAACUUACGCUAAUACCGCAUACGUCCUACGGGUGAAAGCAGGGGAUCUUCGGACCUUGCGCGAUUGAAUGAGCCGAUGUCGGAUUAGCUAGUUGGCGGGGUAAAGGCCCACCAAGGCGACGAUCCGUAGCUGGUCUGAGAGGAUGAUCAGCCACACUGGAACUGAGACACGGUCCAGACUCCUACGGGAGGCAGCAGUGGGGAAUAUUGGACAAUGGGCGCAAGCCUGAUCCAGCCAUACCGCGUGGGUGAAGAAGGCCUUCGGGUUGUAAAGCCCUUUUGUUGGGAAAGAAAAGCAGCAGGUUAAUACCCCGCUGUUCUGACGGUACCCAAAGAAUAAGCACCGGCUAACUUCGUG